This is a non-coding RNA of Zea mays, 3065 nucleotides long. Lineage: Eukaryota; Viridiplantae; Streptophyta; Magnoliopsida; Poales; Poaceae. The record is from RefSeq and is a predicted model, not a curated record.
UGCUGGUGCCAAUUCUCAAAAACAGAAUGGAAAAGGGAGAGAGAGAAAAUCACGGCCAAAAGAGUCCGCGAGCCACUCGCUCUCCCCUUUCGGGAUUUUUCUCUCUCACGGUUCGCUUCAGAGUCUUCUUCCACCGCCUCAUGUUUCCCAAAGGAAAAUGUCGCCGUCGUGCUCCUACUUUGAAGCAGUCUUGUAUAUAGACUCACAUCGCGCGCACCCGCUAGCAGUUGGCUGCUCCCUCUCAGUCUCACGUCUCACCGGCACCUUCCUCUUCCUCCUCCUCUCCCUGUCACCUUCUCUUGUACGUCACAUGUUGACACCAAUGCCCCGGACCAAACACCGUUCUGUACCAUUCAAGCAACCUCCUCCUCCUCUCUCUCUCGUCAUCCCGCCGUCCCAACGUCAAGUCUUCUCUUCAUCCUUCUCUCUCACCCAUCCACCCCUCUCCUCUCGCUCUCGCUCUCCCGCGCCUGCACCGAUCAGUUGCCAUAUAUUCCUCCACCCUCCCUAUCUCAAGCACCUACCCCGGGCCUUGCGUGGCGAUCGAGUUGCCACCAGACAACUCGGCUCGGCUCGUCGUCCACCGACCCUCCUCCUCGCUCCAAGCUUCCCUCUCCCCUCCUCCUCCGUCAGCUGGGGAGCUAGCUAGGGAGCGGCGCCGGCGGCUGAUCGAGCGGACAGACAGCUGAACGAGCCGGAAAUGGCGGCGGGGCGCGCGCCGUGGCUCGCCGCCGGCCUCGUGGCGGUGCUGAUGGUGGUGGCCGCGCGCGCGCGGUUCGUGGUGGAGAAGAGCAGCGUGCGGGUGCUGGCGCCCGAGCACAUCCGGGGCCACCACGACGCCGCCAUCGGCAACUUCGGCGUGCCCGACUACGGCGGCACGCUCACCGGCGUCGUCAUCUACCCGGACACCAAGCCCACGGGGUGCGACGACUUCGACGCCAAGUUCAAGGCCAAGUCCCGCCGCCCCGUCAUCCUCCUGCUCGACCGCGGAGAAUGCUACUUCGCGCUCAAGGCGUGGAACGCGCAGCGCGCGGGCGCGGCGGCGGUGCUGAUCGCGGACAGCGUGGACGAGCAGCUGCUGACGAUGGACAGCCCGGAGGCGUCGCCGGGCACGGAGUACAUCGACAAGAUCAACAUCCCGUCGGCGCUGGUGAACCGCGCGUUCGGCGAGUCCCUGAAAAAGAUGGCGCAGAAGGUGGCCGGCGCGGGCAGCGAGGAGGUGGUGGUGAAGCUGGACUGGCGGGAGUCGAUGCCUCACCCGGACGAGCGCGUGGAGUACGAGCUGUGGACCAACAGCAACGACGAGUGCGGCGCGCGGUGCGACGAGCAGAUGGCGUUCGUGCGCGGCUUCCGCGGCCACGCGCAGCUCCUGGAGCGCGCCGGGUACGCGCGCUUCACGCCGCACUACAUCACCUGGUACUGCCCCGAGGCGUUCCGGGCGACGCAGCAGUGCCGGUCGCAGUGCAUCAACCGCGGCAGGUACUGCGCGCCCGACCCGGAGGGGGACUUCGGCGCCGGCUACGAGGGCAAGGACGUGGUGGUGGAGAACCUGCGCCAGCUCUGCGUGCACCGCGUCGCCAACGAAACGGGCCGCCCCUGGGCCUGGUGGGACUACGUCAUGGACUACAAGAUCCGGUGCUCCAUGAAGGAGAAGAAGUACACCAAGACCUGCGCCGAGGACGUCGUCACCGCGCUCGGUCUGGAUCUCAAGAAGGUGCUGGAGUGCAUGGGCGACCCCGAGGCCGACGCCGACAACGCCGUCCUGUCCAAGGAGCAGGAAGACCAGAUCGGUAGCGGAUCGCGAGGCGACGUCACCAUCCUGCCGACCCUGGUCAUCAACAACGUCCAGUACAGAGGGAAAUUGGAGCGGACGGCAGUGCUGAAGGCCGUGUGCGCCGGCUUCAAGGAAGGGACCGAGCCCCGCGUCUGCCUCAGCCAUGACAUCGAGACGAACGAGUGCCUGCACAGGAACGGCGGGUGCUGGCGCGACGAGGCCACCAACGUGACGGCCUGCCAGGACACGUACCGGGGCCGGGUGUGCGAGUGCCCCGUGGUGAACGGCGUCCGCUACGAGGGCGACGGCUACACUGACUGCAAAGCUAUUGGGCCGGGCAGGUGCGCUCUCAACAACGGCGGGUGCUGGUCGGCGACGCGAGGGCACCAGACCUUCUCCGCCUGCACGGAGACCGCGCUGACAGGGUGCCGGUGCCCGCCGGGGUUCCAUGGCGACGGCCACAAAUGUGAAGCCGACCGGACAGCAAGAAUGGCCGAACUAAUCGAGAUGCCCCCGAUCCGUGUCGUCCUCCUCCAGACCUGGACGAGUGCAGGGAGAAGCUGGCGUGCACGUGCCCGGACUGCCAGUGCAAGAACACGUGGGGCAACUACGAGUGCAAGUGCAAGGGCAACCAGCUCUACAUCCGGGGCGAGGACGUCUGCAUAGCUAACAGCAUGUCGAAGCUCGGCUGGUUCAUCACCAUCGCGGCCGUGGCGUGCGUCCUCGGCGUCGGGGUCGCCGGCUACGUCUUCUACAAGUACAGGCUCAGGUCGUACAUGGACUCGGAGAUCAUGUCCAUCAUGUCCCAGUACAUGCCGCUGGACAGCCAGAACAACGAGAACCAGCCUCUGCGGCAGCACGAUUCGGAGGCUCUGAGGCACUAAAGGGGCCCCAAUGCAAGAUGCGCACAUGAUCUCGACAGAUAUAAUCUGCUCCGGUUUCGACGACGAUGGUUUGCUUCGCUUUUGUAUAGCGCGUAGAAAACAAAAAGGAGGACGGUUUGUACUGUGCCGAGGACAGAGUUGAGCUCUAGAGAGUUUAGACAGGUAGGCAUUUCGCUCGGCUCUCUUGGGAGCUAGUAGUCUUGUGGGUCAAGAGCCGUUUAAAGCACACAAACAGCAUGUAGAAAAAAAAGGCGUAUACGAGCUGCUAUACAUGUACAUUGUACAGUAGACAAAUCCUACUACGGACAAUUUGUUACUGCCAUAUUUGGUAUGCGCGGGAGUUUCACCUUAUGAUUGGUAGGAGUAAGGAGUGUACUAUACUGUACUGCAUUAAAAAUUGUGUGGAA